GAGUUUGAUCCUGGCUCAGAUUGAACGCUGGCGGAAUGCUUUACACAUGCAAGUCGAGCGGCAGCGCGGGGCAACCUGGCGGCGAGCGGCGAACGGGUGAGUAAUGCAUCGGAACAUGUCCAUGUCGUGGGGGAUAGCCCGGCGAAAGCCGGAUUAAUACCGCAUACGCCCGAGAGGGGAAAGUGGGGGACCGCAAGGCCUCACGCGAUUGGGUUGGCCGAUGUCCGAUUAGCUAGUUGGCGGGGUAAUGGCCCACCAAGGCGAUGAUCGGUAGCUGGUCUGAGAGGAUGAUCAGCCACACUGGGACUGAGACACGGCCCAGACUCCUACGGGAGGCAGCAGUGGGGAAUUUUGGACAAUGGGGGCAACCCUGAUCCAGCCAUUCCGCGUGAGUGAAGAAGGCCUUCGGUUGUAAG
Molecule: ribosomal RNA, 416 nt
Filed under: uncultured beta proteobacterium
Lineage: Bacteria; Pseudomonadati; Pseudomonadota; Betaproteobacteria
Description: bacterial SSU rRNA
Rfam family: Bacterial small subunit ribosomal RNA
Source: RNAcentral